UACAGAGGCCCCAAGCGUUGUUCGGAUUCACUGGGCGUAAAGGGUGCGUAGGUGGUGAGGUAAGUCGGAUGUGAAAUCUCCGAGCUCAACUCGGAAAUGGCAUUGGAAACUACCUUGCUUGAGGGUUGGAGGGGGGACUGGAAUACUUGGUGUAGCAGUGAAAUGCGUAGAUAUCAAGUGGAACACCAGUGGCGAAGGCGAGUCCCUGGACAACUCCUGACACUGAGGCACGAAAGCUAGGGGAGCAAACAGG
RNAcentral lists this ribosomal RNA (253 nucleotides) under uncultured bacterium. RNAcentral describes it as "partial 16S ribosomal RNA". It matches the Rfam family "Bacterial small subunit ribosomal RNA", at positions 524 to 776 of the family's 1533-position model. The record is from RNAcentral.